UCUCUCUCUCUCUCUCCCUCCCCUCUUUCUCUAAUCAACCUCCAUAUUCUCGUCUUAUCACUAGAUUGAGUUUUAUAUAAUAUUUCACAUUAACAAUUCCCCAACCCUUUUGCGUACUCUUGUUCAGCUUGAACCUCCGUCAUCUGAGAGAAAAUACAACCUAGUUUCUGGAUGAAGUGGAAGCAGAAUGCUCAUACUUGAACUUGAGCUUCGAAUCCAGAGAUGGAGGUGUGUGCCCUCUUUGUUUUUUUGGUUGUCCAUCCAAAGUUGAAUGCUCAUGCUUGUUUCUUGUGGAUUCACUGAUAUUAAUCUAACUAGAGAAAUUUUGAAUAUAGAUGUAUCAUAUGGCUGGAAAGGAAUGAAGCAUCACAAUAAUUCAGCACAUAUUGUGGAAGACAUGCAGAUUACAUGGAAUGCAGCAGAGGCUUCUUCACAUCGAUUUGAAUUCAGUUAGCUGCCUUAGUCAUCUGUGUUGAAAAUAGAAAAUAAUUCCAAUUCCUGAGAGUUAAGGACUGAAUACAGGGAUCCUAUGUCCUGAGGGUCGAGGACUGAAUAUGCAUCUCAAAAACAUGGGUGCAUAUCUCUGGAUGAUCAAUGUUACGAGUUCAGUGAUGUUGUGAAGUUGAAAUGAUGACUUCGAACUUACUCUCGAGGUAACGAGUUUGGAAAAGAGUUUUUGAAAAAUGGGUUUUUUUGUUUUGACAAAAAUAUUAAGAACUCAAUAAAAGUUUAUGUUGUUUUUCUGAAAACUCUUUUUUUUUUUUAAAAAAAAAACACAGCCUCUAUUAGUCCGGUUUAGCCGAUAAUAUGAUGUUUUGAAAAUGCAUUUUGGGCGUGAGAGGAGUUAAAAGUAAAUAUCAUCUAUGUAAACUGAACAAAAUUUUGACACCAGUCUUUUUUAUUCAUGAGGAAGACUUAGAAGUGCUAGUGCAUUUAGCGUUCACCAAGAGUACAUGUUGUUGAUGUCAAAAUCCGAAUGAGUUGGUUAGUGACUAGAUCUCAGAUCCCUGCAUCAACAUUAAAUUUGUUUGGUGGGAAGCUGGUGGUUGAUCUCUAAGAAGAUCCUCCAACUAUGAGCAGAAUAUUCAUGAGCAGAUAAAUUUUAAGCUAAUGAUCAGCAAGUACUUGAAAUUACAGAGAAUGCUCAGAGGCGCCGGAAGUUUUUCCGGCGUAAACUCUCCGACGCUCAAGUCAGUUAUCAGAUUUACAGGAAAAACCAAAUAUGUCAUUUCUCAUAUGGCUUAAUAAACACUGCUUUAAAACCAAAAGUUUUUUAAAAUAAUUUACAGAAAAAUGAAAUAGAGUGUAAAAUAAAGAAUUUCUCAGUGAGACAAGAAGAAAAAGAGCCCCUUUGGCGUGGUUUUCUCGGGGUUUUUAUAAAUACUCCACACCCACGACCUUAGAUCGUGAAGAUAACCAUUAAUUGAUCAAAUUUGUGCUAUGAUUUUUUAGAGGAGUUUUGUGGUGGUUUAUUUUAGUUGAGUCUGGAUUCUUGGUCAUCACUGACAAUAACCAUUAAUUGAUUAAAUUUGUGCCCUGAUUUUUCGGAAGGGUUUUGUGAUGGUUUAUUUUACCUGAGUCUGGAUUCUUGGUCAUCACCUAGUCGAGGUCAUUUGCUCAAGCUCAUACCACCUGGUCGAGGUGAUCUCCUCAAGCUCAUAGUAAAUGGUCGAGGUGGUCUGCUCAAGCUCAUAACACAUGAUCGAAGUGGUCUGCUCAACCUCGUAGUACCUGGUCAAGGUGGUUUGCUCAACCUCAUAAUACUUGGUCGAGGUGGUCUACUCAAGCUCAUAGCACCUGGUCGAGGUAGUCUGCUCAAGUUCAUAGCACCUGGUCAAGGUGGUCUGCUCAAGCUCAUAUCACUUGGUCAAGGUGGUCUGCUCAAGCUCAUACCACUUGGUCGAGGUGGUCUGCUCAAGCUCAUACCACUUGGUCGAGGUGGUCUGCUCAAGCUCAUACCACUUGGUCGAGGUGGUCUGCUCAAGCUCAUACCACUUGGUCGAGGAAUUUUUUUUUUAAAUAUAUAUGAUAUCUGCUGUACCGUACAUCCGCCUUGGCCGUACAGCAGGAAAAUAGAAAAUAAUUCCAAUUCCUGAGAGUUAAGGACUGAAUACAGGGAUCCUAUGUCCUGAGGGUCGAGGACUGAAUAUGCAUCUCAAAAACAUGGGUGCAUAUCUCUGGAUGAUCAAUGUUACGAGUUCAGUGAUGUUGUGAAGUUGAAAUGAUGACUUCGAACUUACUCUCGAGGUAACGAGUUUGGAAAAGAGUUUUUGAAAAAUGGGUUUUUUUGUUUUGACAAAAAUAUUAAGAACUCAAUAAAAGUUUAUGUUGUUUUUCUGAAAACUCUUUUUUUUUUUUAAAAAAAAAACACAGCCUCUAUUAGUCCGGUUUAGCCGAUAAUAUGAUGUUUUGAAAAUGCAUUUUGGGCGUGAGAGGAGUUAAAAGUAAAUAUCAUCUAUGUAAACUGAACAAAAUUUUGACACCAGUCUUUUUUAUUCAUGAGGAAGACUUAGAAGUGCUAGUGCAUUUAGCGUUCACCAAGAGUACAUGUUGUUGAUGUCAAAAUCCGAAUGAGUUGGUUAGUGACUAGAUCUCAGAUCCCUGCAUCAACAUUAAAUUUGUUUGGUGGGAAGCUGGUGGUUGAUCUCUAAGAAGAUCCUCCAACUAUGAGCAGAAUAUUCAUGAGCAGAUAAAUUUUAAGCUAAUGAUCAGCAAGUACUUGAAAUUACAGAGAAUGCUCAGAGGCGCCGGAAGUUUUUCCGGCGUAAACUCUCCGACGCUCAAGUCAGUUAUCAGAUUUACAGGAAAAACCAAAUAUGUCAUUUCUCAUAUGGCUUAAUAAACACUGCUUUAAAACCAAAAGUUUUUUAAAAUAAUUUACAGAAAAAUGAAAUAGAGUGUAAAAUAAAGAAUUUCUCAGUGAGACAAGAAGAAAAAGAGCCCCUUUGGCGUGGUUUUCUCGGGGUUUUUAUAAAUACUCCACACCCACGACCUUAGAUCGUGAAGAUAACCAUUAAUUGAUCAAAUUUGUGCUAUGAUUUUUUAGAGGAGUUUUGUGGUGGUUUAUUUUAGUUGAGUCUGGAUUCUUGGUCAUCACUGACAAUAACCAUUAAUUGAUUAAAUUUGUGCCCUGAUUUUUCGGAAGGGUUUUGUGAUGGUUUAUUUUACCUGAGUCUGGAUUCUUGGUCAUCACCUAGUCGAGGUCAUUUGCUCAAGCUCAUACCACCUGGUCGAGGUGAUCUCCUCAAGCUCAUAGUAAAUGGUCGAGGUGGUCUGCUCAAGCUCAUAACACAUGAUCGAAGUGGUCUGCUCAACCUCGUAGUACCUGGUCAAGGUGGUUUGCUCAACCUCAUAAUACUUGGUCGAGGUGGUCUACUCAAGCUCAUAGCACCUGGUCGAGGUAGUCUGCUCAAGUUCAUAGCACCUGGUCAAGGUGGUCUGCUCAAGCUCAUAUCACUUGGUCAAGGUGGUCUGCUCAAGCUCAUACCACUUGGUCGAGGUGGUCUGCUCAAGCUCAUACCACUUGGUCGAGGUGGUCUGCUCAAGCUCAUACCACUUGGUCGAGGUGGUCUGCUCAAGCUCAUACCACUUGGUCGAGGUGGUCUGCUCAAGCUCAUACCACUUGGUCGAGGUGGUCUGCUCAAGCUCAUACCACUUGGUCGAGGUGGUCUGCUCAAGCUCAUACCACUUGGUCGAGGUGGUCUGCUCAAGCUCAUACCACUUGGUCGAGGUGGUCUGCUCAAGCUCAUACCACUUGGUCGAGGUGGUCUGCUCAAGCUCAUACCACUUGGUCGAGGUGAUCUCCUCAAGCUCAUAGCACCUGGUUGAGGUAAUCUCCUCAACUUUUUACUCACUUUUACUUAAAGGAGAUCAUGGUCACCCUAGUUAAUUCCCUAAACACCAGUCCCCAAGUUUCUAGUGUUGAGAGUAAAACGAAUCAACACUGGAAACUAUAAAGUUUAUAAUUUUAAAAACUUAAAACCUUAAACACUUAAAACAUUUUGCUUUCCCUGCUAACCAUGCUUUUAUAUAUAUAUAUAUAUAUAUAUAUAUAUAUGGGUGAGUAGGUAUCGUUAGUUUAAGGUUUUAUGCAUUAUCUAUAGCAAGUUUCAAGGCUUUUAACCUUCUACUGUUUUAAGCAAUUUUAAGGUCUUAAGCCUUAUCUAGAAUAGGUUUUAAGGCUUCUAACCUUGCACUUGCUUAAUCCGCUCAUGAAUGAAUUUUUUUUUUAAAUAUAUGUGAUAUAGCGGAUUUGGGUAAACCUUUGCCCUGGCAUAAUUUAUGCAAAUUAUGCUUGCUCGUCCUCAUGUGACAGAGCAGAUUUUUUGGCAAACCUUUGCCUUGGCGUAGUUUAUGCAAAUUCUGCCUGCUUGUCCUCAUGUGACAGAGCAGAUUUUUGGCAAACCUUUGCCUUAGUGUAUUCCUGUGAAUUUCGCCUGCUCGGCCUUAGUUGACGGAUCAAGUUUUUGGCAAACUUUCUCCUUAGCGUAUUUAUGAGAAUUCUGCCUGCUCAUCUUCAUGCGACAGAGUAGGUUUUGGCAAACAUAUGCCUCAGGAAUAUUUUUUGCGAAUUUUUCCCAAUCGUCCUCACGCGACUGAGCAAGUUUGGGUAAAUCUUUGCCUUAGAAAAUGUUUUUGUGAAUUUUGCAUGCUCGUCCUUUUGCGACUGAGCAGAUUUGGGUAAACCUUUGCCUUAAAAAAAUAUUUUUGCGAAUUUUGCCUGCUCAUCCUCACGCGAUUGAGCAGGUUUGGGCACCAUGUGCCUUAGAAAAUUUCUUGUCAAUUUUGUCUGCUCGCCUUCACGCGGCUGAGCAAGAUUCGGCACCAUGUGCCUUAGAAAAUUUCUUGCCAAUUUUGCUUGCUCGCCCUCACGCGGCUGAGUAGGAUUCGGCACCCUGUGCUUUAGAAAGUUUCUUGCCAACUUUGCAUGCUCGCCCUCACACGGUUGAGUAGGAUUCGGCACCAUGUGCCUUAAAAAGUUUCUUGCCAAUUUUGCCUGCUCGCCCUCAAUCAGCUGAGCAGGAUUCAGCACCCUGUGCCUUAAAAAGUUUAUUGCCAAUUUUGCUUGCUCGCCCUCAUGCGGCUUAGUAGGAUUCAGCACCCUAUGCCUUAAAAAAUUUCUUGCCAAUUUUGCAUGCUCGCCCUCACGCGGUUGAGCAGGAUUCGGCACCCUGUGCCUUAAAAAAUUUCUUGCCAAUUUUGCAUGCUCGCCCUCAAGCGACUGAGCAGGAUUCGGCACCCUGUGCCUUAGAAAAUUUCUUGCUAAUUUUGCCUGCUCGCCUUCAUGUGGCUGAGCAGGAUUCGGCACCCUAUGCCUUUGAAAAUUUCUUGCAAAUUCUGCCUGCUUGCCCUUUCAUAAAUCGUUCUCAUAUUGAGCAACUUUCAAGAAAUCAAGUUGAUUGAGUUAUAUCACUAGCUUUAAUAUGAGCUCUAUUAAUUUGACAUGUACAAACUAUCCUCAUUUAAUAAAUUACUAGUAGGUAAAUACUAUACCCGCAAAUAAAUGCUACAAAUGCAUGUUUUCAUGUAGACAUCAAGACAUAAAUUUGUUAAAAUUUAUGACCUAAUUAGGAUGCAACUUUUGGCAUCAAUGUCUCCUUUCGGGUGCAUAGCUUGCCUCAUUCGCAAAUGUAUUAAAAUUGACUUGGCCAGUCAAAUAAGAGUUUGUCAAAUUAAUAAGUAUCAAACACAAAUUAUAGACGUGAUAUCAUUCACUAGGAUUAUGAUUCGAAAACGUAGCUUAAAUAGUAGCGAAUCUAGUGUGCAGGUGUCUAAAGUCAUCAUUGUUACGAAAUAUCUCAAAACAAACUGUAACUUAUAAAUUUCCCAAAAAGUAGCUCAAAAAAUCAAACACAUAAGUGGGCUUUUAGCCACGCUUCUAGUCAUUUAUUUAUGCAUUUGGGUUUUUUAAUGGAUAACAUCCUUUAUGCUCCAUGAUUAUCAAUAACAUAUUCAUUUAUCAAUAUGAUAAAAGUCAUCUACUAAAGGUUCAUUGUUUCAUUUAUUAUUGCUAUGAACAUUGAGAUUUAAACAUAAAAUAAAGCAUAGCAUUUUAGAACAUGUAAUCAUAAAAGAGAUGGUAGUUUAAACCAUUAAACAAAAUCAUAUCAUUAUAUCAAGGGGAUGUAGUGCUAUGAUAAUAUAGAACUAAAUUAUAUAUGGUAACAUAAAAUUUUUGUACUAGAAAAUGGGUAAAGACGGUGAGUCAAAACUCGAUCUAACAUAUAUCUUAAAUCAAUAAUUAGUUUUAAAGAAUAAAUAUAGAAUUGAGGUUAAAGAACAAGUGCACCUGAGAUUGUGCUCUGCAUUAUUUGAUUGGCAUUUCAUCAAGCAAAUUCCAAGCUUGACUUUGCAUUCUUGCAAUAUUAUAACUCGGGCAUAAAACGAAUAAAAUUUGCGGGAAAAAAAAUCCAACUUUGUCAAUGCUUUGAAGCUUGAAAAUAUUCCUUUCAAUUCUCAUCAUCAAUAAACAUUUGUUUUGUUUUAAAAGCAUUAUUAAAGUGAGCCAAAAUAACCAAUACUCGGCCUCAUCCAAAUUAUGCUAAUUAUACUUCUUCCAACACUCAUUAACAAUUAUGAGAAUUUGUGCAAUGUGGAUGACAAGCAUUAUUUACAUACAGCUAUGUAUGCAUAAUUUCUAAUGUUCUCUCAUGCAAAGGUAUAAUAGAGCUAUGAUUAAGAAUAAUUCAUGCUCUCAAUUAGUUUGAUGAGUAUAUUGAAUGAACUGAAUCAGAACCUGGAUUUUAAUCCUUGCUCCUAGACAAUGUUCUUUUGAGCGUCACUCCCUUCAAUUUUAGUUGCUACCUUUGCUUUCCAAUCCAAUUAAUCUCACCAUCGUGAGUGUUCUUCUGUAGAUUCCUGAGCUUGUUCCUUACAAUUUGAGGCUGCGAAAUUUUUUCAAUUCUGUCAGUUAUUUUGUCGAACAUUUAUUGUGUGUGAUCUCGUGUCAUCACUUUUAACAAAUAUCCUCUGACACAUGUUUCCAAAAUCGUAAAACACCGUAUCUCUGCACCAAAUAUAUGCAAUCUUUAUUGAUCUCAUCUCUAAUUUUUAUAAAAGUGUACGAAGGACGAGGGAUAUGUGAGGCUGUAAAUAUAGCUUUUGGAAGCAUAUAAUUAAUUGUUGCCGAAAAAGAAGGCUAAUUUUCAAAAUUUCUGUUUAAAAUUGAGAUGCAAGAAAACUAAAAGGUUUAGUGAAGUGAUAAAGACGUUUAGAAUAUCUCAUAUCAAACUCUGAUUCAAUGAUUCAUCCUUCAUACAUGAAGACAAGAGAUUUUAGAGUAUAUAUAAGAGGUACUAAACCAAAUUAAUGCAUGUAUGGUAUGUUACUUCAAUUAAAUAUAACUACUAAUUAUAUGGUGAUUUUUUAAAAUAAUUGCACAUAUGGAUACAUGUAGGGAUGGCAAAAAUCCCCAUGGGGAUGGGUACCCUCGGGGAUUUUUCCCAUUCGGGGAGGGUAUGGGGAUAAUUUCAUACCCAAUUUCUUAUUCGGGGAGGGGACGGGGAUGAGGUGGAAUCCCCAUCCCCUACCCAUUUCCCCAUUUUAAUUUUUUAAAAUUACUAGUGAAUAAAUUAUAAAUAUUGGUAAAAAUAAAAAAAUAUCAAAAUAUUUAUAUUAUUAAACUUUUAGGCCUAAUUAGCUAAUUAAAGUCCUAAAUUUUUAUUUAGAACAUUAAAAAGACCGAGUAGAUUCUAUUAGCCCAAAAUUUUAAUUUUAAUAUUCUUUAAAUUUUUUAAACUUAAAUCUAUUUUUUUAUUUAUUUUUAGAUGUUAUAAUUAUCCACAGCGAAUCACAAUUUUAAUAUCUAAUCUAAUCUAAUCUAAUAUUUGCUCUUGAUUUGCUCUGAUUUAACUAUUGUGUUGUAAAGGGAAUAGUCCACAUUUAUAAAGUGUCCAUGUCACCAUUGAAAAAGUUAAUUUUGAAUCUAAAUUCGAUUUUAUUUGUAACAAUUUUAUAUUAAACUAUUAAUUUGUUCAUGAUAGUUUGUAAAAGAAGUUUGUAUCCCUUGCAUGUUGCGUUACUUACUAAUUUAAUGUAUAUAACUUUUGUAAUGGAUAUUAAUGUAAGAUAUAUUUCGAACUUUACUUUUAUUUGAAUUUUUUAUUUUAAUAUGAUUAACUCAAAAUCGAAAACAAAAAAUAUAUUAGUUAUUCGGGGAUCGGGGACCUUCGGGGAUCCCCUGUUAUUAUUUGGGGAGGGGAUGAGGAUUCUCUCAAGUAAUUCUGACGGGGACGGGGAGGGGACAAGGAUAUACGCAAAAUAUCGGGGAUGGGUACGGAGAGAUUGGUCCCCUCCCCUCCCCUCCCCUCCCCAUUGCCAUCCCUAAUCUGGAGAGAAGUUUGACUAUAAAGCAACUAGCAUUAGAAUUCCACAUUUCUUAAAUUCGUGCUUACCAACUAAUUUCUAAUUAUUAUGAAAGUUAAAUUUCUCAAGUCGGUGUCAUGUGAAUACACAAAUUUACCAAUACGGAAACAAAUUCAAACUAUACCGAGGCUGUGGCAUGUGUAAUUGAUCAUUCAGAUGCAAUAUAUCACACAUAGAGAUGAGUAAAUUGAAAGUAAUCACAUCAAUUUAAUAGAAAAUACAAGCAAAAAUGAAAUUUGUGAGACAUAUUUUACUGAUCUCAAGCUCAUGAAUGUCAAUAUUGGUUUAAUUUUUACUGAUUCAAUUCAUUUUUUUUUCACGUGAAUCCAGAAAUAAAAGAGGGCUUGCUGCAAUUUGUGCAUGAUAAUAUUCUGCCUUCGUUUUGGCUAGAUGAAAAUUGAUAGAGUUAGCAGAUUGGCUUUUUGUAUCGAUCCCUACAGACGGCGCCAAAUGUUGAUGCCAAAAUCCGGAUGAGUUGGUUAGUGACUCGAUCUCAGAUCCCUGCAUCAGCAUUAAAUUUGUUUGGUGGGAAGCUAGUGGUUGAUCUCCAAGAAGAUCCUUCGACUAUGAGCAGAUAAAUUUUAAGCUAAUGAUCAACAAGUACCUGAAAUUACAGAGAAUGCUUAAAGGCGCUGGAAGUUUUUCCUGCGUAAACCCUCCGACGCUCAAGUUAGUUAUCGGAUUUACAGAAAAAACCAAGUAUGUCAUUUCUCAUAUGGCUUAAUAAACAUUGCCUUAAAACCAAAAGCUUUUUUAAAAUAAUUUACAGAAAAAUGAAAUAGAGUGUAAAAGAAAGAAUUUCUCAGUGAGACAAGGAGAAAAAGAUCCCCCCUUGGCAUGGUUUUCUCGGGGUUUUUAUCAACACUCCACACUCACGACCUUAGAUCGUGACAAUAACCAUUAAUUGAUCAAAUUCGUGCCUUGAUUUUUCAGAUGAGCUUUGUGGUGGUUUAUUUGAGCUAAGUCUGGAUUCCUGGUCGAGGUCAUCUGCUCAAGCUCAUACCACCUAGUUGAGGUGAUCUACUCAAGCUCAUAGUACCUGGUCGAGGUGGUCUGCUCAAGCUCAUAGCACCUGGUCGAGGUGAUUUCCUCAAGCUCAUAGCACCUGGUCGAGGUGAUCUUCUCAACCUUUUACUCAUUUUUACUUAGAGGAGAUCGUGGUCAUCCUAUUUAAUUCCCUAAACACAUGUGUUAUGAAUAAAAUUGUUCUUAGCUAUUUAUGAUGUAAUAGAUGCCAUUAUGGCAAGCUUUAUCGUUGCCUAAAGGUUACUUGUUAGGGCUGUGUAUUAUAUUUAAUAAUAAUAUCGUAAAACAUAAGUAUGGCAAUGGUAGCUUCAUUCUUUUCACUUGGUCGCGUGUGCCUUCAAGUUUGUUAAUUGAAAAGUUUCUAAAACAAAAUUAAUGACAAAACAAUCUAAAUUAACAUUGUAUUAGUAAAUGGCUGAUAGUUACCGCAAAUUGCCAUUUACUCGCCUACAAUGUAAGUUAAGAGGAAGUUUUUGAGACAACAUCUAUUUAUUUAUUUUAUUUAUUCAGGAGGUCGGACUCGAUUCUAUAAUGCGAGAAUCUGAUCUGGAGUCUGGACCCUAUCAUCAAUGUGGGUUGAAAAAGCCCGAUAGGCAGUUGCUUGGACAUGCCUCGUACCCGAAGUUAACAAUAACAGUAAGGGAGCUCUUGGGAAAAGGGAAUUAUCAAGUAAGAUUACUUGCCUCCCAUACUCAGCUAAUGUUUGAUUCCUUCCCCAUGCAUGAAUCCUCCCUGAAGUUGCCAUGAAGUAAUCCUCUUUCCCACUGGCCUAGCACCAACUCAUUCAUAUCACCCUCACUUCUCUUCGUUGUUCCGUCGCAAUUCUUUUUGGCAACACAUCACAUAUCACCAUGUCUUGGCGCGGUGAAAUUGAAACCAAUCCUCAUUUUCGCCCACCACCAAAUCAACUUGAACGCCAACAUUCUCCGUUACCUAUUCUGGGGGCGGCAACGACAACACCAUGGUACCAAGAUCACCAAGACCAAUAUACCCAGCCACCGCGUUCACCAGUGCCACGAGCAAAGAAACAAAAGCAGCGCCAGGAUCGGCGUUACUGGCCACUAGGUGCAUGGUCAAUGACACCAAUGGAUCAGGAAGUCCGGCCACAACCUCCGGGUGGGCAGCAGCAACCGCAUGGUCCUGAUCAGGCGACGGAACCUCAAUGGAAACCGCAGCCUCAAUGGUCACAAGCGACACAACCAAAGCAUCAUGGCCAGCCGCACGGUCCAGAGGCAGCAAUACCACCACUGCAUCAAGAUCAGUACCACCAACGUAAUUCACAAGGUUUGCGGGCGCCAUCUCCUCGUCGAACCAAGCUCUACCAAUGGUUUUUUGCAGGCUUUUGUGCAAUCUUUUGGAUUGUCAUAAUUCUAGGAGGCAUAGUCGUCCUCAUAGUUUAUCUUCUCUUUCGCCCACAUAACCCACGGUUUGAUGUGUCUAGUGUCAGCUUAAACGCAGCCUAUCUAGACGUGGGAGUUUUGCUAAACGCCGAUCUCAAUGUGCUUGCUAACUUCACAAAUCCUAACAAGAAAGUCAAAGUAGACUUCAGUUACGUAGUCCUUGAUCUUUACUACGGAAAGACCCUCAUUGCUUCUCAAUAUGUCGAACCUUUCUCGGCAGCAAGGCGCACGUCUUGGCUUACAAAUGUUCAUCUGGUGACAAGCCAAGUUCGGCUUCCUUUCGCGGCAACUGAACAGCUUAAGAAGGAAAUAGACAGCAACGCAGUUAUGUUUCAAGUCAAGGGAGUGUUCCGGGCACGAUCCGAUUUGGGAACUUUCUUACGGUACUCUUAUUGGCUCUACAGUCAUUGCACUAUUGUGCUCUCUGGUCCUCCCAGUGGAGUCUUAAGAGCUAGCAAAUGCAGGACAAAACGCUGAGAGGAGAGGGAACCAUUUUUGGAAUUAUACUUCUCUAAAUUGUUUUCGAUUCGUUGGCUUUCAAGUACAAAUUAACCAGUGAUUUUGCCUUUUUUUUUUUUACAUUUUUUUGUUCUUUUGUAUAACAAUAUUCAAGUACAAAUUAACCAGUGAUUUUGCCUUUUUUUUUUUUACAUUUUUUUGUUCUUUUGUAUAACAAUAUAUUUUCACGCACCAUAUAAUUAAUUAAUUAGCAACCAUAAACACCAGCCUUUCUUCAGUUUCUGCUCGUGUUCUUUGGCGUUUCCUAUCUCUUGGGUUCAAAUCGUGAGUUAGCAUCAAAAUUCUAGAUAGCCAAUAAUAUUAUGCAAAUAUAUAUGCUUCAGCGCCGUGCGCACAUGAUGAUUCCUUACGAGACAACAAAUUAUAAUUAAAAGAUAAAGCGAAAGCCGGGGAAAACCUGAUUAAGCAAAAUCUCGUUUCAUGUGAUAAGAGCAAAGACUUCAAUACAAUGGGAAGACGAUAUAUAAUGAAUGUAUGACACUUCCGCAGUAGAAAGAAUUGCUCACAAUGGAUUAUUUACAAAAGCUACACACGAGAUUUUACCAUAAGCAGGCAUUAUUCUGGCCCAAUCUUUCACCCUUCACUAAGCCCAACAGAAACCCGCACCAGCCAAUUUCACUAGAGCCACACAACUCCAAAGAAAAACACUUGUGCGCCCUCGAAAUGAAGACAAAAUAACAGCGACCCAAAAAAAAAAAAACUUAUAUCUAAAAUCUUCUGUAAUAAUCUCUGGUAAAGAAAGGAUGCUUGAGGGCAUCGUGGGCGGUUAGUCUGCUGGAGGGGUCAUACCUGAGAAGCCCUUGCAAGAGAUCUAUGAGGUAUCCAGCUGAGUGAUCUACAUGCUGCAUUACUAGGUUCUGCAAAGCAAAAAGACAAACGAAAUGAUAAAUCAGUUGAGUAAUCUUUUUCUUUUGCCAGAAGUUUUUUUUUUUUUUUUUAAAUAAAAGAAAGAUAUUAUCAUUUUACACUGAACUCUUUUUUUUUUAAUAUCACUUUGCCAUUAAAAUUUUCUAAUAAUUACUUUUUUCUACUCAAUGUUUUAGUUUUUAUCACUUUACCACCAAACGCUAACUCCAUUAGCAAGUUACUGAUGUCACAGGGAUAUUUCAAGAAUCUUAAUAUAUAUUUGCAAUUCUAUCAAUUGAUUAUUUUAGACAUAUUUAGAUAUAUAUAAAAAAAAAUCAAUUAAUAAAAGUAUUAUCUAUUUGUAUAUAAUUAAUUUUGUAUUUUUUUAAUUCAGAGGAUUAACUUGUACUUGACAGUUUAGGGGUAAAAUAGACUUUUAUUAUGAGUUCUGUUAAAAAUUCAGUCAUUUUUAACAAUUUGCUGAUAAAAUAAUAAAAAUUGAAACGUUAGAUAAAAUGAUAAAAUAAUUGUCAGAAAAUUUUGAUUGUAAAAUAAUAUUCCAAGAAAACUUAAGUGAUAAAAUGAUAAUAUCCCAUAAAAAUGGAUGAGUAUGAUGUGCAUAGGCUUGCAAUGAGUAAUGAACCUCUAAACAAGUCCCUGGAACCAAAAGGACGAUGUAACUUGAAGAUACAUGUUAUCAUACACACCUGGAGACGAGGUAGCUUUAGAACAGCUUUAAUGCUUUCCCGUGAUGUUGCACCCUCUGGCCAGUCCAAUCUACCUCUUCUAACAAACUUCUCAGCAGGUUUGCUGAACCAACAAUUAAGAAUAGACAAACAAAUUGAAAAAUAGUAUAUUGAAAGGAUAAAAAUAACAGGAAUUUUUUGAAGGGCACGCACUCGACUCUUUUUAACAUGUGUUGAGGUAUCGGGCCAAGAACCCUUUCCAUCAUAGCCAAGUGCUCCAAGUUUUCAUGUGUCUGAAACAAAGCUUCUCCCUACAAAGAAACAUAUUUUUUCCCACAGGUAUAUGUUAAAGAUUAUUUUGUAUGCAAUAUCUGUCAAUGCAUGCCAACAUACUCUGAAGACAUUAACAUACCGAGCACAGCUCAAUCAAAAUACAUCCAACACUCCACAUGUCACAUGGAUAACUCCAUCCAAGUCCUGAAAUUUAGUUAAGCAUUAAAGGCAUGAACUUCCAGAGAUCCAAUGACAACAGAAAUUUCUACAGAGGACAAAGCAACACCAUACCAAGAAUAACCUCAGGAGCACGGUAGUGCCUGGUGGAGACAAUAUAGUUGUGUUCUUGAUGCUCAUAUGCUGUGCUUCCAAAAUCAAUAACCUUAAUAGCACUUGACUUUGGCAACCUCUUGUAAUAGUUCACAUCAGUUGGUGAUCGGGCCGUAACCUACAAAUUAAAAAGUUAGAAAAACUAAUUAACCAACAUCAAAGGGCAAAUAGUACAAAAGACAAACAAUAUAGUACAAUUGCAAAGCCAGAAGAUGCAUCAUUAACAUUUGACUUCUAAUAACAACAAAGGCACGCACCAAUUGAGAACAUCUGAAAAAUAAGCAAAGCUACCUUGUAGUCAGGUAUUUUCAAGUAUUCCGGAGAAACAAAAAGUAUAUUCUCAGGCUUCAAGUCGGUAUGGAUGAGGCGCAAAUCAUGCAUGACUGCACAAUGAAAAUGAGUGUGUGCAUAUAAGCACUUAUGGCAUGACUAUUAUAAUCCAGCCUCAAAUCUCAGCAAUUCACUUGAGAGAAAUCAAAGCUCCCACGAAAAUAAAAAUACAAAAAAGAAAUAAAAAUUUAUUAAACUUAACAGAAAAGCUACUAGUGCCUUUGUGCGAGCAUGAAUUGGCUCAGAUAACUCCCGAAAAAUGGUUACCAACUACGGGGAAAAAAGAAGAGUAAUAGCAGAUUACACACAUGCUACACAUUCCAACAGUUGUCUGCCAAUCUCACGGACAAGAUCAACCGGAAAUGGGCGAUAAUUAUUUUUCCGAAGAAAAUCGUAUAGGCUAGGUCCAAGCAUCUCAAACACCUGUGAAGAUCAUUUAAAUCCACCAAGUCUUAACCCCAAAAUAUUAUCAAAUUGGGGAAAUCAUGUCAUUGUAAAUCAGUUGUAUACUUACGAUACAGAUAUGGUUACGAUAGUCAAACCAGUUCCUUAUUUGAACACAACUGCAAAGAAUAUAUGCACUUUAAAACUAACUCAAGAUUCACCUCAAAACCUUAAAAAACGACAAAUGAUAACAAGGAAGAAAUGUAAACUCACUGACUGCCACUUCUGUCAUAUCUUUUGAGCAACUCAAGCACAUCAAUUUCUGUCAUUGCUGCUUCACGGUAUUUCUUAAUACUUCGCACAACUUUUAUGGCAACCGUCUCUCCUGUUUCCCUAUCUAAACAAUCCAAAACCUGACCAAAAGUUCCUGUUGGAAGAAAAAAUAUAAAUGGAAAAGGGGGGGAAAAAAGAAGAAGAAGUAAUAUGAGGACGUAAACCACAAAAUCAAUAACACAACUGUAGACAGAAUCUAGAGAAGUGAAACCAACCUUCACCAAUUUUUCUGAGGAUUUUAUCUGCAAGCAAGAGGGCAAUAAAAUGAGAAUAAGUAACUCUUGGAAAAUUAAUAAAUGAUUAAUAAAAAAUUCAAAUAAAUAAGCAAAUCUUUUUUUUUAUAAUUCAAAUAACUUGAAAAUAAAGGUUUUCCAUAUAUUGAAACCCAGUAAAUAAAGACACUGAUAAUAAAGUAAUUAAAAAAAAAAAACUCAACAGCAACUAAACCAUGGGAAAGGACAAGAUACGUUUUAUUUUAUUAGCAAUAAGAUUUAUAAGGAAAUAUUAUUAUAAAUAUUUUUUUUCUUAUAUGGAAACGAGGUGGAUAUACAAGAGGGAGAGAGAUUAUAUUUUUAGCACAUGGCAGAGAAUUAAUGCCACUGCUGAAGAUAACCUAAUUCCAAAUAAAAAAAAUUUUUAAAAAAUUCCCAAAUCCACAACGGUUAAUGUAAACAGUUAAUAUUCUGAGCCUCAAUUUUCUUUAAAGCUUCUGCCUAUACUGUACUACACAUAAGAGAAGCUUUUGAGACCCUAAAAAUCCUCACAAUUCAUUCAAGUAAAGAAAGAAAAUAUUGAAAAAGAUAAAAAAAAUAGAAAGAUAUCAUUAUUAUGCAUUUAAAAUACGGUAUUCCCUACUUCAUCCACAUAAAGCAGAAGCAAAUAUUAGCAAGAUACUUUAAAAAAAACAAAAAAAAGAACUCAUCAAAAAUAAUGAUCAAGUGUAAUUACAGCGAGAAGUUAAAUUCUCUCCAAGCGCAAACAGGUAAUGUCCAUCUUUGUCAUCAUUUCGCCAUUGGGGAGUGCCAUUUUGAGCCAAUCCCUUUACAAACAUACUAGCAUGGUCUGCAUGUACCCUUGAUGGCCCAAAGCUUGUCAGAUUCCCCAACUCUUGUCCACAAUACAUUCCUGACUGAGCCUACACACAGCCAUUCAUUCAUACUACACUAUACACAAAGAAAUCAUAAACUCUGCCCACCUCCACAUUUAUUCACUUCCAAAAUCUUCCCCCAAUUUUUAAGGAUAUAAUACUAAUAAAGUGGAAGACAUAUACAAUUUGACAAAUUCUAAAGUCACGUCAAGUAACAUGAUCAACACAGAGAAAUUCUUGGUCAUUUUUGCAAGAUCAGACUAUUAAAUAACCAACAUUAAACAUUUGUCAUUUCCAAGCACAAGGGAUAAACAAUAUACUACUAAUACAGUUAAAAAAAAAGAAGAAAUUUUGAUCUAAACAAGCCAUUCAAAUCUUUCAAUUAUAAACAAAGGUCCAAUUCAUAUGCCUUUGCGGAAAGAAAAAAUUAAUUUUAUUUUAUCCUAAGGAAACAAACAGAUCCUCAAUAACUAUUCAAAUCAUUUUUUUCUUUAAAAAAAUCAAAUGUACCUUAGAGUGAGCUUGAGGGUUUUCCCAAGCUAAUCGAGGUCUCUUCGUGGGACGACGAUCCAUGUGACUGUGAGCAAACCCUGUAACGUAGUCCAUUUCCAUCUGAUACAAAACCCUAACCCCAGAUUGACUUAUCGAUUCAUCAAUUACGGGAAGAGAUCAAUUGAAUUUUUCUUCUUUGUCGCAAAAGCUUGUGAGGCCGCUGUUCUUUAUUGUAAGCUAUUGCAAGCGGUUGGAUUCGUUUCUAAGGUUUGAUCCAGCACCGUUCGAUUUUUAGAUUGAGAUUGACCAUGGUUAGAUUGUAGCAGCGGUUGAGUUAGCGUUUCUUUUUCAUUAUUUUAUCCAUUUGGAAUAUUCUACUCCACGAACCGUGAUCCUCUGUGUUUCAAAAGUGUUUAUUUUUGGCACAUUUACGAAAAUAAUCAUAGAAGUUAAGUAAAUUACAAAAAUAACCACACAAGUUUUAUUUAUCAAAAUUAGCCAAACACCAAAAAUUUGGACCAAACUACCCCUGCCAUUUUCACCCAAACUCACCGAAAUCUCUCACCUAUCGCCGACAGUGUAGAGUAAUAUCGAAGUCCAUCAUUGACGGUCAAUCUCAUCGAAAUCACAUCCAACAACAUCAAUCCUGCUGAAAUCAAGUCCAAUAAAUGUUUAAAGUUCAAAAAUCCUAGGUUAGUAGUUUCAAAUAAAUGUUUUAUUUUAUUCUUCUGUUGUGUUGUUGUUGUGUGUGUUGUUGUUGUGGUGGUGGUGGUAGAUUGAGUAUUUGUUGGUGGUGAUAGAGGGUUGAGUAUUUGUUGGUGUUGGUGUUGGUGUGUUGCCGGCGUUGGUGCAUUGCUGAGGCACCCAUUGCCUGGAAUUUCUUGUGAUAGGUGUUGCCAUUGCGUAAAGAUUCAAAUGAUGGCAGCACCCAUCACAAGAAAUUUGAACGAUGGCCAUUACCCAUCUCAUGAUUUUAGGUGAUGGCUUGGAACUCAUCGCACAAAAAUUUAGAUUGUAUGUAAUUUAAAUUUAAUCUGAAUUUUUGUGCGAUAGGUGAGUCGUCGCACAAAAUUUAUCUCGUCGCACAACAACUCAUAUUACACAUAAUCUAAAUUUUUGUGCGACGAGAGCAUGUCGCACCAAAUUUUGUGUGACGACUCGCCGUUGAACUAAACCAAAUUUGAUUUGUUGUGCAACGAGUGCCCGUCUCACAAAAAUUAGUAUGAUGGACACUCGUCACACCAAAUUUUGUCUAACAAAUCACCGUUUAACCUAAAGCAAAUCUGAUUUAUUGUGGGACAAGUGCUCGCCUCACAAAAAUUGUUGUGAUGGCAUCCAUCGCACAAACAUUCUGGUUGCACAUUAUGCCCAUUGCACUAAUUUUUUUGCACAAUUUGUUUCUAAAACAUAAGACCAUUUGUACUUUUUCAGCUAAACUUUUUAUUUUACAUUAUUAUUAUAAUAAUUUUACAGAUCGCACAAUAAUGAAUAAAAUUUCGAUUUUAGUUUAGAUAGAUAACGAAAACUAAGUUGGUAAAACGCAAUCCACCUAAAUCUAUGAAGGAGUCAGGUGUGAUGAAGUCAUGAUUUGAUGAUCAUUUCUCAGGCCAUAUUACGAAGACACCAAAAUUUAAAAAAGUCAUCAAAGCUAUCGAACGUAAGCUAACGUACAAAAAAUUGUUAUUGUUCAAAAGUGAUACUUUUAGGCACUUCAUGGACUUGGAUAGUUAUGUAUUUAGUGAUGUUAUAAUCCACAACCUAUUACUUAGGCAAGUGGGACAUGAAGAAACUGAUGAAAAUUAAUUAUGGUUUCAAAUUGGAGAGCGCUUGAUACGUUUAUCGAUCGAAGAGUGGUGCCUAGUUACAGGGCUUUCCAAUGGUCCAGAUGUCCUACCAAAAAAUAUGAAGACGUUUCAGUUUCUACUAGUAUUUCAACAUGUCGAUUCUAAACUCGAGGAGAUAUAGUAAUAAAUAUUGGGAUGCAUCCAUAAUUGAUUACAUAAGAGGCAAUAUGUAACAUAACAUUGAUUAUUUCGUCAUUAAAUAUGUCCCUAAGUAGUGAACAUGUACGAUAGAUUGUGUUAUUAGAUCUCGUAGUUGUAUUCAUCGUGAUACUGUAUUCCCUAUUAUUUAUCUACAAAACCUCAUAAACUUUUGUCAGAAAUUGAUCAAAUGUACAAUCUUUUCGAACAAAAAAAGUUGUAUUAUUACCAUUGAUGUAUUCCAUGAGGCCAUCCGCCGAUGUCUCCCACCAACCAAUAAAACACAAUUGAAACACAAUUAAAUCCAGUAAACUUGAAAAAUGUAAAAAAAGCAAAAUAAGUGUGGUUACACACUACAUAACAUGAUAAAGUGAAUAUGCGACAUAUUUUACAUGAAUGGUAAACAAAAUAAAAUAUAUGCAACAAGCAACUCUAUGUGCAACAGGUGUCUGUCACACUUAAAUUAAGGUAAAUUUUUUGUUUGACCAUGGGGGAGACUGGUGAAAAAGUUGUGUAUUUGAUUCGUCUUGUCGUAAGCUUCGAAACAACAUAUUACAUGCCAAAAAAGGACACAUGUAGCUUAAGUUAUGACCUCCAAAAGAUACAUGUCGCACGUACUAUAAUUUUGUGCAAUAGACUGAAUUAUGUGUGACAGACUAGGCAACAAGUGGCUGUCACAUAAAAAUAUAGUGGUAUUUAUGUGCGACAGGCACAUAUCGCCUAGCUUGUCACACAUAAUUCAACUUGUCGUACAUAACCUGAAUUUUGUUUCUAACUGGAGUUUCUACUGUUGCCAAUAUUUUUUUUUUAAUUUCUCAACUCAAAUCUAGCUACUUUAACAAAUUACAUUACUUUAUGAAUGAAAAAUAACAACAUUUAUAGCAAAAUCUACAUCAAUUUUGAACUUAAUACAUUAAAAAUUCAUAUUUUUGUAAGAACAUGGACUAACAUUUAAGAUGCUCCCAAUUGAUGAUUUUAUACUUUUGUUAUGCUGAGAGUGUAGAGAGUGUUAAGAUUUAUUGAGUGUUGAGGUUUGUUGAGGGUGUUGAGAGUGUUGAGGUUUGUUGAAAGUGACAUUGUUUGAAAAAUUGAUGAAAUUGAUGAGGGCAAUUUAGUCCAAAAGAUUAGUAUUUGGCUAGUUAUGUUAAAAAAAAUUGAGGGAUUAAAUUUUUAAAAAAAUACAAAAAUAUUAUGGCUACUUCUGUGAAUUUUCCUUUAUUUUUAAACAAAAUAAAAAAUUUAAUUAAUUAGACAAAUUUGCCCAAUUGAAAUUGGGUUGAGAAGUUAACGAAAUGACGUGGCAUUUACUGGUUAUUAAUUUUAUGGAUAUUGUAAAAUUAUCUCAUUAUUAAUACUAUAAAAUAUCUUCUAUUAAUUGACUCUCAUUAAUUAGUGAUGCUUAAUUUAACGGACGAAGCUACGGUGCCGCGGGUGCACGGUACCCCUUAUUUUUGGUAAAUUACUUUGCAGUCCCUCUUAUUUACUGAAAAGUGAACAAAUUAGAAGUUUUGAAAUUUUAAUAUAUAAGUCCAAAAUAUUUCUACUAUUUACACUUAAGAGUAUAUUUCUAUUAUUUAUAUUUGAAUACUAAGCCAUAAUUGAUUAUUAUGAAUUUUUUAACAUUGUCAUUUGGUCAUAUUAUUAUUGAUAAAUUAAAAAUUAAUUAUAUAUUAAAAUUAUUUAUUAUUGAUUAAAUAGAUUUUAUACUGUUUCUAAAAAUUGUUUAAUAUUAUUGAUAAAUUAAUAUAUUUUAUUAUAUAUUUAAAUUAUUUAUUACAGAUUAAAUUAAUAUUAUAUUAUUUUCAAAAAAUAAAAAAGAUUUUAUGUAUUAAUUUUUUUUAAGUUAUUGGCCUUAUAUUGUCAUUAAUUUAAUAGUAAAUUAGAUUAAUUGAUCACAAUAUAAAAUUUAAAAUUUAAAAAUUAUCCAAAAUUAUUUGUCGAACUUUUGAUUAUUUUACUUUUUUGAAAAACAAUAGAGAUGUCAAUGUUAAAAACCAAAUAGAAUACAUCCAUACCGUUGAAACAAGUUUUAAAUCACACUACUGCAUAAACCAGAGAAUCAAUAGUAUGAUUUUUGUCGAUCAAAAAAUCUACUUCUAAAUAUGAUGUUUUUAAUUAAAAUUAUUUUAUUAUGUUAGAGUUUAUGAAAAGAAGGAAACGAAAAUAGAGGAUAGAGUUCAUGGGUACUAAACUGCUAAUUAGAAAUAAAGAAAGAACAUAAAUGAAAUUAAGUUAUCGUACACAAAGACGAUAAUAAUAUCAAAAUAAAAAAUUUAAUUAAAUAUACCAUACGAAUUACGCAACUUGUUCAUUAAUAAUAUUAUUGGAAACAUUUAAUUUAGGCAUAUGCAUGUUCAUUAUGGUCAUAUAUUAUUAUUGUUAACAAAUUAAUAUAUUUUUAUCAGGUAUUCAAUUUUAAUUGACAUAUUCAAAUAAUUAUUGUAUAUUAAAUAGAUAUUAUGUUAACAAAAUAUUUAUUAAGGCGUGUUAAUUUUUCGUGCAUUUUAAAAUUUUUAUAUGAGAUUACAUUAUUUUCCGUACACUAUACUCAUGCUAAUAGUCAAAUUAGGUCAAUAGAUUUAAUUGUAAAAAAAAUUGAAACAAUCUGGACAUAUAUGUCAACAUUUAGAAACUUUUGCCUUUUCUAAUUUUUCAGAAAAUAUCAGGGAUAACAAUGUUAAUAACCAUACAAACCCACAUGCAGGCCUUUGCAACUCUUUGGUUAGAUUUAAUGGUUAAAUCACAAAAUCACAAAAUAGGGGUACCAAACACCUGUUGCAAAGUAGCAGGACUCUAAUUUAAGAUAUAAAAUUUUGUAUGAGCAUGUCACUAUUCUUAAUAAUAUAAUUACUUUAUAAUUUAAAGUAGAGAAUGGUGAGGAAUGCCGGCAGUUCGUCAUUUUGCACUUUUUUUUUUGUUUUUGAUUAAAAUAGACUUUUUUAUUUAUAUACAUUGUCAUGGAAUAUAUAUUUGUUUUGCCAUGCAUCAAUUUUCUAGCUGAAUUUCACAUUUAGAAAAGGAACGGUUAUUUAUACUCUAAGCAUUCAUAUGUUUAAGAAAUUUGAUUUUAUUAAAAUACUCAUAAGUUAAUAUACUGUUCAGGACAAUCUGUUUGAUAAAUACAAUGAUAAAUUUUUAAUUAUUUCAUCGUGAAAUAAAAAUUUUUAAAAUUCCUCUUAAUUAUUGUAAACUUUAAAUUAUUUUUAUUUUUUAUUCAAGAGACAACGGUGGGUCAAUGAAAUUUUUUUAUCUUCUUUAUAUAAAUGAGAGGUAAAUUAAGGUUUCCAAUACUUAAACGGCAUUUUAAAAAUUAUCAUUUCAAGAGAAUUAAUCCAAAAUUAACCCUUAACAAAAAACACAUAUUCAACGUAAAGUAAUAUAAACAGAAAGCUAAAUUUUAAUUUUUCUAAUUUUAUUUGAUCAGUUUCUUCCAGUAAGGAGCUCAGAGUAAAAUUCUACAACAGCCAAGUUCAAACUUCAAAUAUUUAAGUUAUGGAUUAAUUGUGCAUGGUCAAUUAUUAUUAUUAUUAUUAUUUCAUUCAUUCAUGAUUAUCCUUUGACAUUAAUGUUAGCGAGAACUAUAAAAUAACAUUUUUAUUCAAAAUAAAAAAUUAUAAAUUAAGUGUGAAGGGCUAAUUGCCUAAUUUAAACUUUUUAUACUAUAUAUAGAAACCCCGUCAUUUUUUCAAACACGACAGGUGCCAAAGCCAUGAUACCAUCUAGGCAUCUACAUCAUCCAUAUUGGUCAUCUUGAAAAUUGGCUUCCUUGCUGCUUACGUCUCUAAAGCCACCAAAUUUUUAAUAAUUUUGCAACCGAUAAAAUAUGUUGAAUCAACGACAUUUAUCUGCAAUGAUAAGAAAUAUCUCAAGAUUCCAGUUCUAUCACAAGUUGGCAUAGCAGCCAAUUUUAGUAGCUCCCCUUUUCGCAGUAUGUUCAAGCAUAAAUAUAUAUAUUACAUUUAACUAUUUAAGAAUUUUGUGUCGCUUCACCCUCUUGUCAUCCUCCCAUCCGUUGGAGCAAUAACUAAAAGGAGAUGCAUUCUCUAGUGGUAGAGUUGCUAGGAAUCGCACUGUUGAUUAAGUUCUUGGUAUGAAAUUUAUUUUUCUGGUUUUGGAGAGAACAAACUGAGAGGUGUUUUGGUAACUUUAAAGGUGUAUGGAAUAAAUUAAUUUAAAAAAUGUACCAAAUGUGUAUGCAAGUAAAAGAAUAUUCAAAGUAUGUCGUAAAGUAUAAAUAGGUUCAAUCUUUUAAAAAAUACAAAUAUUUGCACUCGAGAAAAUAUCUUGACAUCCAUACAUCUUGGAAACAAACUAAUAUUGUUAAGCUCUCCCUAAGUUUCAUUUAGUGUAACUUACAACCCACUAAAAAUAAGCUAAAACAAGAUCUUGACCUCACAUAUUAAUUACUUAUUUUUACAGAUUUUUAAUGGAAUGUAAGUUAUACUAACUAUAACUUAGGCAAACCCAUAUUAUUAUUAGAAAGUAAUGGUAUUGGUAUGGAAUUCUAUGAAAUUUAUCGAUAGAGAAAUAAUGUUAACAUGCUAAAUGUUAUCCCAAAUGAAAUCACGUUUAUCAAAUAGACAAGUAACUUGAUCAGGUGGCUAUUAGAAAAGUCAAGUAAAAGUAAAAAAGGUGAUGAUAGGAAAAAAAAAAAAAUAGAAAUGUGACAAAAUUCAUUCCUUUUCAAAUUAUUAAUAUCAGCCUAUUUGCAAUUGAGUAUAUGGGUUCGAGUCCCAAAAAUGGUUAAAACUCAAUUUUCCUCUCAAUAAAAUUAAGUAGGAAUAUAAUUAUCUUAUCUUAAUUUAGGAUAGAAUAAAUAUCUCUCCAAUAUUAUGUGAUGGUAGAAAUUACUAUAGUAGAAUUAUCAAGAAAAAUUCCAAUCGAUUUGUAAUUGCUAAUAUCAGUAUAGUUCUAAUUGUAAUACAUUAAUUAUAAAAAAAAAAAAUCUUCUUUUUCAAAUUUUGUCCAAAAAUUUCUAUAGAAAAUAAAAGAAACGUAUAAAAAAUAUGAAAGUUCAAGUAGACAUCAAUGGGUCCUAGCCCCUAGGUGCAGAGUUUCAAUCAAGACUUUGUUGCUCGUUAUCUUAUCAGAAUUUGAAAAUAGAGACAAACUAUAUUAUAUCAGUGGAUAGAUUCUGGCCGCUGAUGGCGGUAGCGGAAUAAUCGGUUUUUAAUAGAUCAAAAGGAGUAACUUAGCUAAAUUACUUAUUAGCUAAAUGAAUAGUUGAGAAAUUUAGCUAUAUUUAGCUAAUACCAUUCCUUGCAGAAGAAGCUCAUUGUUCUAAAAGUUACUUAUUAGCUAAAUAAAUAUUCGAAUGGAUCUCACGUUUUCUCCCCAAACAGUAUUACCCAUGUGGAUGUGGCUCCCUCUUCUCCUCAUCCCGCUGCUGCUCAUCUUGAAAAAGCUGAAAGCACAAAACAAGCAGCAGCUUCCACCAAGCCCACCUAAGCUUCCAGUAAUAGGCAAUUUUCACCAACUUGGAGAGUUGCCUCACCAAUCUUUGUGGCAACUCUCUAAAAAAUACGGCCCCGUUAUGCUCCUCAAACUUGGUCGUGUGCCUCUUGUCGUAAUCUCCUCGGCUGAGGCAGCAAGGGAUGUAUUAAAAGUUCAUGAUCUCGAUUGUUGCAGCAGACCACCAUUAAUAGGCAGUGGGAAGUUUACGUACAACUAUUCGGAUAUAGCUUUUUCACCAUAUAGCGAUUACUGGAGGGAGUUGCGGAAAAUAAGUGUCCUCGAGGUAUUCAGCUUGAGAAGAGUGCAGUCAUUUGGAUUCAUCAGGGAAGAGGAAGUUGCCCUGCUUAUGAAUUCAAUCUCUGAAUCAUCAUCCUCUGCCUCCCCUGUUGAUCUUUCUGAGAAGAUGUUUGCUCUCACUGGAAGUAUAGUUUUCAGGAUGGCUUUUGGGAGGAGAUUUCGAGGGAGCAAUUUCGAUAAUCAUAGUUUUCAAGAAUUGGUCCAUGCCGUUGAAUCUCUGUUGGGGGGAUUCGCAGCAGCUGAAUGCUUCCCAUAUGUGGGUUGGAUCAUUGAUAGGCUCAAUGGUUACCAUGCAAAGCUCGAGAGAGUUUUCCAAGAAUUAGAUACUUUAUUCCAACAAAUAAUCGACGAUCAUCUCAAACCUGCUGAGACAACAAAACAAGAACAUGUACAACAAGACAUCAUCGAUGUGAUGCUCAAAAUUGAGAGAGAUCAAGCUGAAUCCCAUGAAAGUGAAGCUUGGCUCACAAAAAAUCAUAUUAAGGCAGUACUUCUGGUAAGCAUGUAGCUGCCUUUUCACUUUAGCAUCAUCGUGCAUUGCAAUAGAAUCUAAAAUCAGAAAUUGAUUGUGAGACAAAUUUAUUUAUGUCCAUUCUCUUAUAUAUUGUGCCUGCUAUGCUAUGCUGUGUGCGCUUUAACAGAAUAUAUUUCUGGGAGGAGUAGACACCAGCGCAAUUACGGUGAUUUGGGCAAUGGCAGAGCUCUGUAAGAAUCCAAGAUUGAUGAAAAAAGCACAAGCUGAAAUCAGAAAUCAUAUCGGAAACAAAGGAAGAGUUACCGAAGCCGAUAUUGAUCAACUUCAGUACCUGAAGAUGGUGAUCAAGGAAACUCUGAGACUGCACCCUCCUGCCCCACUAUUAAUUGCGAGAGAUACCCUGUAUCGUUUCAAAGUUAAUGGUUAUGACAUUUAUCCCAAAACGUUGAUCCAAGUGAAUGCCUGGGCAAUUGGAAGAGAUUCAAAGUACUGGGAGAGUCCUGAAGAAUUCAUCCCAGAAAGGUUUAUUGAUAAGCCGGUUGAUGUUAAAGGACAAGAUUUCGAAUAUUUACCAUUUGGAUCCGGCCGAAGAAUUUGUCCUGGGAUUAAUUUGGGAUUAAUAAUGUCGGAGCUUGCGCUUGCAAAUCUCUUGUAUUGUUUUGAUUGGAAAUUGCCGAAUGGAAGGGAGGAGGAUUGUGUUAACAUGAACAUGGAGGAGGCAACUGGUGUGUCUCUCACUCUCUCUAAAAAGACGCCUCUUAUCCUUGUGCCAGUCAAUUACCUCCAGUAGCAUAGCCAUCAGAAAAAUGAAAGACAACAACAACAUUGCUCUGUUGUAACUUCCUCAACUUCCUGUACAAGUUGUGGUUGAUUGUAAUGUAAUCACUUGUAAUCAUGUAUUUGAGGAUAAUGUAUUAUCAUCACCUAAAUUAUGUAUGGAUUCGCCAUAAAACUACUUGAUAGAUGGAUGCCUCAAGUUUACUUGUAAUCACGUAUUUGAGGAUGAUGUAUUAUCAUCACCUAAAUUAUGUAUGGAUUCGCCGUUAUCUAUAUUUUGUUUAGAUAGAUGGAUGCCUCAAGUUUAAAUUUAUUUUAUUCCCCAAGUAAAACUACUUGAAUAUCACUUACUUAAGACCCUUGGAGGCCAAAGGUUACUUAUCUCACA
Molecule: long non-coding RNA, 25443 nt
Filed under: Citrus sinensis (sweet orange)
Lineage: Eukaryota; Viridiplantae; Streptophyta; Magnoliopsida; Sapindales; Rutaceae
Description: long non-coding RNA (CSIN_LNC002874)
Source: RNAcentral